GUACGGGAACCUUACACUUGAACGCAUUCAUGAAGAACAUCUUUCAUUCUGCUGACAAACUGUAGAGCUAAUCCAGUGUUGGCACCUGGUGGGCAAAGUAACAUUGUAUCUUCUGACAUAAAUCUGUUAAGUACUUCAAACUUCAUUGUGUACGUUCCAUUAACUGCUGUCCACCCUUGCAGACAAUGGCAGAGAACAUAUUUCAGUCUUUGUUGUACAUUGGCCUAUCAGAGCAUCAAAAGCCAUUGUGAACUGCUGCUGUAAUCUAAGCUUCACAUACUGACUUCAAAAUGUGAAAAUGACAACUCACAGCCCACAGCAGCUGCUGAUUUCCUGUACAUCAAUGAUGAGCUUUGACCUAGAUUUUCUUCAAGAUGGCUCAAGAUGGGAAGAAUACAGCAUUCUGACAGAAAUGGAACAUUCCUUUGUUCUCAAACUUUCUCUAAGUGUCAGUUGUUUCAGAAAUUACCUGUGGAAAGAAUGUGUUACACAGGAACAAAGAGAACAAAAUCACCAGCAUUUAAUUCUUCUAAUUAGCAUAUUUCUUAGAUCUGACAUUCAAUUAAGCCAGAUCUGAUGAAGUUCUGAAGUGGUCAGGAUGAAAGUGCUUAUCAUUUGUUUUAUUUUCUUCAAUAAAGUCCAGAAUUGGUUUUAUUGAAUUUGGCCUGAAUAGGUGCAUUUUUACUGUGGAGUGGCUCAUCCUUUUGUUGCUGUUUGACAUCUUCGUGUUUUGCGACAGUUUUUCCUUUUGUCUUUUUUCACAAAUAUUCAAAUCUGGAGCCAGUGUUACUAGAAAACACACUACUCAGGAUAAAUUAAUCUUUACAUUAGUGGCAUUCAUUCACUUUGAUGCUUUAAACUGUAUUUUA
Protopterus annectens (West African lungfish) is the source of this 869-nucleotide long non-coding RNA. RefSeq lists it as uncharacterized. NCBI's taxonomy places the organism in Eukaryota, Metazoa, Chordata, Ceratodontiformes, Protopteridae. The record is from RefSeq and is a predicted model, not a curated record. The transcript has 3 exons.